RNAcentral lists this ribosomal RNA (406 nucleotides) under uncultured bacterium. RNAcentral's name for it is "partial 16S ribosomal RNA". It matches the Rfam family "Bacterial small subunit ribosomal RNA", at positions 30 to 526 of the family's 1533-position model. The record is from RNAcentral.
AUUGAACGCUGGCGGCAGGCCUAACACAUGCAAGUCGAGCGAGCGGCGGACGGGUGAGUAAUGUCUGGGAACAUGCCUGAUGGAGGGGGAUCACUACUGGAAACGGUAGCUAAUACCGCAUAACAUCCGAUGUGCCCAGAUGGGAUUAGCUAGUAGGGGGGGUAAUGGCUCACCUAGGCGACGAUCCCUAGCUGGUCUGAGAGGAUGACCAGCCACACUGGAACUGAGACACGGUCCAGACUCCUACGGGAGGCAGCAGUGGGGAAGAUUGCACAAUGGGCGCAAGCCUGAUGCAGCCAUGCCGCGUGUAUGAAGAAGGCUUUCGGGUUGUAAAGUACUUUCAGCGAGGAGGCGUUACUCGCAGAAGAAGCACCGGCUAACUCCGUGCCAGCCGCCGCGGUAAUAC